This 24-nucleotide microRNA is filed under the name Ananas comosus (pineapple). RNAcentral's name for it is "microRNA s0855_c115a". Lineage: Eukaryota; Viridiplantae; Streptophyta; Magnoliopsida; Poales; Bromeliaceae. The record is from RNAcentral.
GUAGGCAAGUUUCGGGGACAAAAC